This 465-nucleotide ribosomal RNA is filed under the name Vreelandella stevensii. RNAcentral describes it as "partial 16S ribosomal RNA". It matches the Rfam family "Bacterial small subunit ribosomal RNA", at positions 338 to 795 of the family's 1533-position model. The record is from RNAcentral. Lineage: Bacteria; Pseudomonadati; Pseudomonadota; Gammaproteobacteria; Oceanospirillales; Halomonadaceae.
CCUACGGGAGGCAGCAGUGGGGAAUAUUGGACAAUGGGGGCAACCCUGAUCCAGCCAUGCCGCGUGUGUGAAGAAGGCCCUCGGGUUGUAAAGCACUUUCAGUGAGGAAGAACGCCUGGUGGUUAAUACCCAUCAGGAAAGACAUCACUCACAGAAGAAGCACCGGCUAACUCCGGGCCAGCAGCCGCGGUAAUACGGAGGGUGCGAGCGUUAAUCGGAAUUACUGGGCGUAAAGCGCGCGUAGGUGGCUUGAUAAGCCGGUUGUGAAAGCCCCGGGCUCAACCUGGGAACGGCAUCCGGAACUGUCAAGCUAGAGUGCAGGAGAGGAAGGUAGAAUUCCCGGUGUAGCGGUGAAAUGCGUAGAGAUCGGGAGGAAUACCAGUGGCGAAGGCGGCCUUCUGGACUGACACUGACACUGAGGUGCGAAAGCGUGGGUAGCAAACAGGAUUAGAUACCCUUGUAGUC